AGGCUACCUUGAUCGAGUAAA
Molecule: small nuclear RNA, 21 nt
Filed under: Arabidopsis thaliana (thale cress)
Lineage: Eukaryota; Viridiplantae; Streptophyta; Magnoliopsida; Brassicales; Brassicaceae
Description: snRNA_11803
Source: RNAcentral